Vombatus ursinus (common wombat) is the source of this 2190-nucleotide long non-coding RNA. RefSeq lists it as uncharacterized. The record is from RefSeq and is a predicted model, not a curated record. NCBI's taxonomy places the organism in Eukaryota, Metazoa, Chordata, Mammalia, Diprotodontia, Vombatidae. The transcript is spliced from 3 exons.
CCACCUGGGAGCCCGAGAGUGAUCGGCAGCCCCGGGAGCCCGCUAUGCUGGAGCAGUGGGGACGACUCUCACCCCGACCCACACGAAGAAACACUGGACCCAGAGUAUACAAGACAUCUUGAACAAGUUAAAGAUGAAGCACCCCACUCCCCUUGAGCAGGCAUCAUUUGUUAUUUGCACCCUUAGCUGGACUCUUGGUGUGUCCUUGAAGACCAAACCAGCUACAAGACAGGAACAGUGGUUUCCCUAAGCCCUCUCAGCUGGUUAUUCCUCACUGCCCUGUUCUGCCUCAGGUCUUGGCCUUCCCCCAGCCACAUCUAAGAAGGACGUUGCAAUCAUCUGUUUGGAAGCAUUUCUGAGCCAGUCAGAUGUCAUCCUAGAGAUUUUCUCCAGACCAGUGGAAAGCCUAUACGUCAUUGAUGGACAACACUGGUAUUAUAAGGGGAAAGAAAAAAAAAAGAUCUUAUUUGUAUCUAAACUAAGGAGGAUGAGAGUGGGCCUGGAGAUGGUAUGGAACUGGAAAUGGAAAUGGAUGGUAGAAAUGGAAAUGUUCCCUCAGAACAACUUCCCUGAUGUUCCCUAUAAAGUCACUCCCUCCUAUCUAUCUACUUCUCCCUCCCCCCCCCAAAACUGUAUACUGACAAAAUUCCCUCUGACUCCCAACAGUCUCCAUCCCUUCAUUCUUCUCUGCUUCCCCCUCUCAACUGAGGCUCUAUGGGUACAGUAUUACUAGAACUGCCCAGACUUCCCCUUCUUGCUGUUGAUGUUUCAGCUGCCUCUCCCAGGGUUCCUCACAAGCCUGGAACUCUUCUGGGGUUUGAGGUGAGACUAGAGCUAAUCAGGGAGUAAGAGAGUUCAUCCCUCCCUGGGUCUGAGAGGUGAGUAGCACUGAAUUUGGGCCUAGGGUCAUCCUGAUUAGACCUAGCUGUAGGCAGAGGAGCCCUGGCUAGAUUUUCAGCUACAGGAUAUAAGGUGGAAAUUUUACACUGACUCUGGCCUAGGAAGAGGGAUGGGAAACAAGACUGAAGAUACUUCCAAAGGACAGACUUGCUUUCUUUGGGGAACUUCUAUGACUGUUGCUUGAGAGGGUACCAGCAUCAUGCUCUGACAUUCUUUCAUUGCCCCCUUGUUUCACUUGACUGCUUCUGGCGUUCUAUCCAAAGAAACUCCUUUUCCUCAAGGCUGUUUCCAGGAUUGGCCUUCCUCUCCUUUCCUGGAUACUCUCUUCUUUUCCUAUUUAAGUUCUUCCAAUCUUCAAGACAAGUUCAAGACUUAUUUCUUCCAAGAAGCCUUUCCUAACCAUACCAGCCUACAAUGAUCUCUCCUUGCUUUCUGAAUUCUAAUAUUUAUUUAAUUCACAUUUAUUGAGGACCCACUAUGUGCAAGGGACUGUGUUGGAUGCCAUGGCAAGCAUGAGAGUAAUACAAUAGGUUCUCUGCUUUCAUGGAACUUAUAGAUCUGGGAGAUCAGAUAAAGCAUGUGCACAAAUAUAAUGCAAUGUAUCAUGUGAUAAGUGAUUGAGAGAUAUACAAGGUGCUAUGAAAAGCAGGAUCAUCUGUCAUAUAGCAGUCAGUCAUUUGGACUUGUGGGUGCUUACUAUGUACCAGGCACCAGGCUAAGUGCUGGGGAUACAAAGAAAGGCCAAAAAAAAGUCUCUAUUGGGGAGUAUACAUUCUCAUGGGGGAGACAACAUGUAAAUAAAUAGAUAUGUACAUGAUCUAUGCAGAAUAGCUGAAAGAUAAUCUGAAGAGGGAAGGCUUUAGCAACUGGGGGGAAUGGGAAAAGCUCCUGCAGCAGAUGGACUUCAGGCUGAGGCUCCAAGCCUGGCAAGCUAAGAGCUGGAGGCGGGAAUGGGGGCAGGGGUGGGGCAGAGCAUUUCAAGCAUGUGGGAGAGUCAGUGGAAAGUCACAGAGACAUGUCUGGAUCAUAGAAUGCAUUGAGGGGAGGAAGGUAGAAGAGGACUGAAAAUAUAAGGAAAGAGGGAACACAAUCCUACUACCUGCAGCACUGGCUUGUGGUGUAAUCGUGAGGAAAACAAACCUCAUACUGUAAGUUGUGAUUAUUACAGUAUUAGUCUUUAUCUUUGUAUGUGUACAUUAUAUCACCUUUCCAUAGGUUCCUUGCAGGAGUGGGGAACCUGCGACCUUGAGGCCAAGUGUGGCCCUCUAGGUCCUUGGGUUUGGCCUUUUG